Molecule: transfer-messenger RNA, 213 nt
Filed under: Jannaschia sp. CCS1
Lineage: Bacteria; Pseudomonadati; Pseudomonadota; Alphaproteobacteria; Rhodobacterales; Roseobacteraceae
Description: transfer-messenger RNA Janna_sp_CCS1
Rfam family: Alphaproteobacteria transfer-messenger RNA
About the family: Bacterial tmRNA, also known as 10Sa RNA or SsrA, is named for its dual tRNA and mRNA-like properties. Its role is to liberate the mRNA from a stalled ribosome. To accomplish this part of the tmRNA is used as a reading frame that ends in a translation stop signal.
Source: RNAcentral
GGGGUCGAAAUAGGAUCGACGAACGUCUAAAGGGGUUAGCUUUGUCCCGGUGAGUUACCACCGUUAUCGGUACACAUCGUACAGUUGCAAAUGACAACCGUGCUCCGGCAAUGGCUCUCGCAGCGUAAGCUGUCCUGAGUCGCCGACUUUAAGCCCUAGCGCCUAGCCGCGUUAGGCGGGGUUCGCAGGCACCUGGCAACAGAAGCCUGCACU